AUAGUGGGGAAAUGUUCACGAGGUUAUUCCUUUGAAGCAAAUAUUUACUGCGCUUGAAUGAAGGAGAAAUGGUUUUGCCGUAUGAAUCAUGACAUUGCUCCUUUUACAUUAGAUCUGUACAAAUUGAGAGACAUUAGGCAUGACUUACAAGACUCUCGGCCGGUACUUUCCCCUUUGCAUAGUACGCGGGGCUAGGUUUGCGUGCG
Molecule: long non-coding RNA, 206 nt
Filed under: Eucalyptus grandis
Lineage: Eukaryota; Viridiplantae; Streptophyta; Magnoliopsida; Myrtales; Myrtaceae
Description: long non-coding RNA (EGRA_LNC002498)
Source: RNAcentral